GAGGUACUGGCUCAGUGGUAGAGCGCUCACCUAGCAUAUGUGAAGCACUGGGUUCAAUCCUCAGCACCACA
Molecule: transfer RNA, 71 nt
Filed under: Marmota monax (woodchuck)
Lineage: Eukaryota; Metazoa; Chordata; Mammalia; Rodentia; Sciuridae
Description: tRNA.Ala
Source: RNAcentral